UGGGGAUAAAGGAUUUGCAGUCCCCUGCCUUACCACUGGGCCAUGCCGCC
This 50-nucleotide transfer RNA is filed under the name Setaria viridis. RNAcentral's name for it is "partial tRNA-Cys". The record is from RNAcentral. Lineage: Eukaryota; Viridiplantae; Streptophyta; Magnoliopsida; Poales; Poaceae.